Non-coding RNA from Mus caroli (Ryukyu mouse), 892 nucleotides. The record is from RefSeq and is a predicted model, not a curated record. NCBI's taxonomy places the organism in Eukaryota, Metazoa, Chordata, Mammalia, Rodentia, Muridae.
GAGGAGUGUGAAAGGACAAGAUGUAGCUACUAGUAUCUCCCUAUUUCAAAGGCAGAUCUGCCAGGAUUCACCACCAGAGGAUUUAGGUCUGAUAUGGCUUACAAGAUUAGGCUUCUAGUUGUUGUGCCCAGUGAUUAAGUUACCUUUGUUUCUGACCUAAGUUUGUGUGGUGUUGUCCUUCACACAGCUGCUCGACUGGGUUCCAGAGAGAAAAAUAUGGCAGCAAAGCGUGGGUUAGCCUGAUGUACACCACAGAAGGCCAUCAGAGUGUUGAAGCCUGGCGCUAACCUGGUAGCUACCCUCCAGUGGGAACUUAGCAAGCUGGGUAGAGAGAUUUUGGAGCUCUGAGUCAGAACUCUCCACGAGAUAAGAACAGCCUGCCAGUGCAUGGUCGGCCAGCCCGCUGGGGCAGAGAGUAGCUGAGUUUAGCUCAGGAACCUGGUUCCACUUUAAAAAUAUUUCCUGGGAGGAGAAUAUCGCCAGGGAGGAAACUUCUGAGUUUUCAGAGACUGGAUCAGAAUGCUAACCUCAACUUAACUCAGAUUGUUUUUUAAAGAACUUGAGGGGAAGGAAGAUGACUCAGCAUAGAGAGGAGCUUGCCACUAAACCUGACAACUUGAUUCUGACCCCUAAAACCCACAUGAUAGAAGAAGAGACUCAGUUCCCUCAUGGUGCCUUCCGAUCUUCACUUGUACACAAUGACAUAUGUGCACAUUGCCUGCACUCAGAAGGAAUCCUGUCUCCAUCUUUACCUUCAGUGAAUAUGGCUGAGAUGAGUGUAGGAAGCUGUGUAAAGCGAGGGCACACAUUAUCCUCCUCCAGCAAGGUACCUUCCUUAAUAUGGAGAAGCCUAUUGUAUCCCAUGUCUACUGGAAUAAACCCUGAAAUAGGC